UACAGUUGUGGCGCAUAGCGGCAAACGGGUGAAUAACACGUGGGCAACGUGCCUCAAGGUGAGAGAUAGACCACCGAAAGGUGGAGUAAUAACUCAUAUUCUUUAGGUCUGAGAUGACCUUUUGGAAAGAUGGCGAUGGGGAAACCCAGCUGUCGCCUUAAGAGCGGCCCGCGGCCUAUCAGGUAGUUGGUGAGGUAAUGGCUCACCAAGCCUAAGACGGGUAGCUGGCUUUAGAGAGUGGUCAGCCACAUCGGAACUGAGAUACUGUCCGGACUCCUACGGGAGGCUGCAGUCGAGAAUCUUUCUCAAUGGGGGAAACCCUGAAGAUGCGACGCCGCGUGAGGGAUGAAGGUCUUCGGAUUGUAAACCUCUUUUGUUGGGGAGGAAGAUUGCGCAAUUAACACCUGCGUAAUUUGACUGUACCCGGCGAAUAAGCCACGGCUGACUCCGUGCCAGCAGCCGCGGUAAUACGGAGGUGGCGAGCGUUACUCGGUUUGACUGGGUGUAAAGGGUCCGCAGGCGGUCAAGUAUGUAAAAGGUGAAAUCCUUAGGGCUCAACCCUAGAAUGGCCUUUUAAACUGCUUGGCUUGAGGUUGGGAGAGGAGAGUGGAACUGACGGUGUAAAGGUGAAAUUUGUGGAUAUCGUCAGGAACGCCCGUGGAGAAGUCGGCUCUCUGGCCCAAAUCUGACGCUCAGGGACGAAAGCUAGGGGAGCAAACAGGAUUAGAUACCCUGGUAGUCCUAGCCGUAAACGAUGGGCACUAGGUGUCCGUGCCUUGCGCAUGGGUGCCGCAGCUAACGCGUUAAGUGCCCCACCUGGGGACUACGGCCGCAAGGCUAAAACUCAAAGGAAUUGACGGGGGCCCGCACAAGCGGUGGAACACGUGGUUUAAUUCGAUGCUACGCGAGGAACCUUACCAGGGUUUGACAUGCUAGAAGUAGUGCUGCGAAAGCAGUUCCGAUUGGUACCCAGUCCAAAACUAGCACAGGUGCUGCAUGGCUGUCGUCAGCUCGUGCCGUGAGGUGUUUCCUUAAGUGGAAGAACGAGCGCAACCCUCGUGUUUAGUUGCCACCUAUAGUGUUGAACUAUAGAGCACUCUAAACAGACUGCCCGCGUUAAGUGGGAGGAAGGUGGGGACGACGUCAAGUCCGCAUGGCCUUUAUAUCCUGGGCUACACACGUGUUACAAUGCCUAUUACAAUGGGAGGCCAAGCCGUAAGGCGGAGCAAAUCCUACAAAAAUAGGCCCAGUUCGGAUUGAGGGUUGCAACUCAUCCUCAUGAAGCUGGAAUCGCUAGUAAUGGCAGAUCAGCUACGCUGCCGUGAAUACGUUCCCGGGCCUUGUACACACCGCCCGUCAAGCGCUGAAAGUGGGGGGCACCCGAAGACUCGAGCAAUCGGGGACACGGUGAAUUCUGUGAUUGGCGCUAAGUCGAAACAAGGUA
Molecule: ribosomal RNA, 1444 nt
Filed under: metagenome
Description: bacterial SSU rRNA
Rfam family: Bacterial small subunit ribosomal RNA
Source: RNAcentral